RNAcentral lists this ribosomal RNA (461 nucleotides) under uncultured bacterium. RNAcentral's name for it is "partial 16S ribosomal RNA". It matches the Rfam family "Bacterial small subunit ribosomal RNA", at positions 29 to 507 of the family's 1533-position model. The record is from RNAcentral.
ACAAACGCUGGCGGCGUGCCUAAUACAUGCAAGUCGAACGGGGAAAGCUUUCGGGUGAGUACUAGUGGCGCACGGGUGAGGAACGCGUGGAUAAUCUGCCUUAGAGUGGGGGAUAACUAGUCGAAAGAUUAGCUAAUACCGCAUAAGACCACGAGAGCUGCGGCUUUUGAGGUCAAAGGUUUUUCGCUCUAAGAUGAGUCCGCGUAAGAUUAGCUAGUUGGUGAGGUAACGGCUCACCAAGGCGACGAUCUUUAACUGGUCUGAGAGGAUGAUCAGUCACACUGGAACUGAGACACGGUCCAGACUCCUACGGGAGGCAGCAGUAGGGAAUAUUGCACAAUGGAGGAAACUCUGAUGCAGCGACGCCGCGUGAGUAAUGAAGGCCUUCGGGUCGUAAAGCUCUGUCGCAGGGGAAUAACACAAUGAAGGUACCCUGUAAGAAAGGAUCGGCUAACUUCGUG